RNAcentral lists this ribosomal RNA (420 nucleotides) under Fusobacteriota bacterium. Its description in RNAcentral is "Fusobacteria bacterium partial 16S ribosomal RNA". It matches the Rfam family "Bacterial small subunit ribosomal RNA", at positions 355 to 776 of the family's 1533-position model. Lineage: Bacteria; Fusobacteriati; Fusobacteriota. The record is from RNAcentral.
UGGGGGAUAUUGCACAAUGGGCGAAAGCCUGAUGCAGCGACGCCGCGUGGGGGAUGAAGGCCUUCGGGUUGUAAACUUCUUUUGCUCUGAACAAGGCAUGCCUUUGGGGUGUGUUGAGUGUAGGGGUUGAUUAGCGCCGGCUAACUACGUGCCAGCAGCCGCGGUAAUACGUAGGGCGCGAGCGUUGUCCGGAAUUAUUGGUCGUAAAGGGCUUGUAGGUGGCUGGUUGCGUCUGUCGUGAAAGCUCAUGGCUUAACUGUGGGUUUGCGGUGGGUACGGGCUGGCGUGAGUGCAGUAGGGGAGGCUGGAAUUCCUGGAGUAGCGGUGGAAUGCGCAGAUAUCAGGAGGAAUACCGGUGGCGAAGGCGGGUCUCUGGGCUGUUACUGACGCUGAGGAGCGAAAGCGUGGGGAGCGAACAGG